RNAcentral lists this unclassified non-coding RNA (291 nucleotides) under fungal sp. Its description in RNAcentral is "partial internal transcribed spacer region". The stretch from base 1 to 46 matches the Rfam family "Eukaryotic small subunit ribosomal RNA", at positions 1786 to 1831 of the family's 1831-position model. Lineage: Eukaryota; Fungi. The record is from RNAcentral.
AAGUCGUAACAAGGUUUCCGUAGGUGAACCUGCGGAAGGAUCAUUAAAAAAUCGCAUGCUAGGCCUCUGGGUCUAGUUUUGAGCCGCAAGGCUCUUAAAUUUUGUGCACCAGUCCGUGGGGCUUAUUAUGUGGGGGCCAGAUGGCAAGAUGGGUGCGUAAUGUAUAUGCGCACGUGUCUCGCCUUGCCCCUAUGUUGUUGCCCUGUGGUUUUCUAAAACAGUUUACCCUGAUUUUAUGUAUAGUAUUUGUUAAAUAUUUUACAACUUUCAACAGUGGAUCUCUCGGCUCUU